AACGCUAGCUACAGGCUUAACACAUGCAAGUCGAGGGGCAGCGUGGAGCAGCAAUGCUCUGACGGCGACCGGCGGAAGGGUGCGUAACACGUGAGCGACUUGCCCGUCACAGGGGGAUAACCGGCGGAAACGGCGACUAAUACCCCAUAUGAUGCGAUGCUGCAUGGCAUUGCAUUGAAAGAUUCAUCGGUGGCGGAUAGGCUCGCGGGACAUUAGCUAGACGGCGGGGCAACGGCCCACCGUGGCGACGAUGUCUAGGGGUUCUGAGAGGAAGGCCCCCCACACUGGGACUGAGACACGGCCCAGACUCCUACGGGAGGCAGCAGUGAGGAAUAUUGGUCAAUGGGCGGAAGCCUGAACCAGCCAUGCCGCGUGAAGGACUAAGGCCCUACGGGUCGUAAACUUCUUUAGACGCAGAGCAAUAAGGUCCACGCGUGGACCGAUGAGAGUAUGCGUAGAAUAAGCAUCGGCUAACUCCGUG
RNAcentral lists this ribosomal RNA (481 nucleotides) under uncultured bacterium. RNAcentral describes it as "bacterial SSU rRNA". It matches the Rfam family "Bacterial small subunit ribosomal RNA", at positions 32 to 507 of the family's 1533-position model. The record is from RNAcentral.